GUGGGGAAUCUUGCGCAAUGGGCGAAAGCCUGACGCAGCCAUGCCGCGUGGAUGAUGAAGGUCUUAGGAUUGUAAAAUCCUUUCACCGGUGAAGAUAAUGACUGUAGCCGGAGAAGAAGCCCCGGCUAACUUCGUGCCAGCAGCCGCGGUAAUACGAAGGGGGCUAGCGUUGCUCGGAUUUACUGGGCGUAAAGGGCGCGUAGGCGGACAUUUAAGUCAAGGGUGAAAUCCCGGGGCUCAACCUCGGAACUGCCUUUGAUACUGGGUGUCUUGAGUAUGAGAGAGGUGUGUGGAACUCCGAGUGUAGAGGUGAAAUUCGUAGAUAUUCGGAAGAACACCAGUGGCGAAGGCGACACACUGGCUCAUUACUGACGCUGAGGCGCGAAAGCGUGGGGAGCAAACAGGAUUAGAAACCCGGGUAGUCC
Molecule: ribosomal RNA, 425 nt
Filed under: uncultured bacterium
Lineage: Bacteria
Description: partial 16S ribosomal RNA
Rfam family: Bacterial small subunit ribosomal RNA
Source: RNAcentral